CAAAACCCUAGCUCUGCGGCUGCCUUCACUCACCACCACCACCACUGAAUCUCUUCCCUUUCACUCUCUCUAUACGAAAAGGUUGUUGAAUCUGUAGAUCUGAUCUUUAUCAAUAAAAACCCUAACAGGGAUGUUGAAUCACAAAGAAAACUGCAGUUGAGGAAAAAUUCGAUAUUGUAAGGUAUGGUUCUUUUUUGCAUCUUUGUUAGGUUUUCAAUCUCUCGAGGAGUCAUCUUCAUCAAACCAAACUUGGUUGUUUGUCUCUUGGAGUUGGAGCAUUCUCUAUAAAUCCCAUUAGACCUAAUUGAUAUGUGCUAUUGAGAGUGGAGCCUUUAUGAAAUCAUUGUUCCCAAUUCGAAGAUUCGAAAUUUGUGGACAGAAUUGGGUGUGGAAAAAUGGGUAUCUAGAAGAAAGAAAGAAUGGAUACAAUCUGAAGAGGGGAGCAGCAGAUUUGGGGGAAGUUGCUUGUAUGCUUGCAGAUGACUGCAGUAGACAUAUGAUGAGAUUGAGAUAGGUGGUGACGGUGAUAUACCUCAUGCUGGAAUCAGUAAGGCUUGACUCACAUCACUUCCAAAAGAUGUUGUUUUCUUACCGUUCUAGUCUUUGAUAAUUUCUGCAGGGUAUGUGUUUACAAGAGGGGGAUAUGUGGAACUGUCAAAAAAGCUUUCACUUCCAUUGGGUAGUACUCUUGACAGCCUUACCUUUCUUGCAAAUCUGGGUAUGAUGGUUUGAUUCUUUCUGUUGGUGGAAACGGAAGAUCAUUUAUUUUGAUUCUUGAAGCUGGUCCUUCAGCAAAUACAUCUUAGAGCAAAAUUUACUUUGCCCGAAUGAGCACAAAAGUAGGAUUUUGCAGGGUCAGGGUACCGUUUACAUCUUUCCGAGCAGUGAAUUCGGAGGAUCCCUCUUUGGACCCAUUCCUUGUACAUACUAACCAUACAUUUUGAACCAAGAAAACAGAGGCCUAUAGGACUUGCAGGAGGAAAGCAAGACCUAAGAAGCUUCAACUUGAUAAUCGAAUACAUAAAGGCAUUUCCUGUAGAUCUUAUUUCACGUGCAAUGGGAUUCGAGACUAUACCUGGAUUCCUUGCUGCUGGGUGUGGAGGCAGGCAUAGACUUUGAUUGUCAGUUGCAUCGGAUGCUUCCUGUAAUAAUCUAAAUGUGGCGUUGUGAUAGGCUCUGUAACAGGUGGCAUGAAGUGGUUGUCGGGAAGUUGCUGACUUUGCAACUUAUGCAUUUGGGCCAACUAUUGUGAUCACUCCUUUUGGUGCACUCAGCAUUAUUAUCAGGCACGAAACAAGUUCAUUCCCAAAGUUGUGUACUCUUUCCUCUUCAGUUUUUUGGCUAAGUGUCAUAUUUUCUUGCAUUGCUGCAGUUGCAAAACAUAGAAAUAUCUUAUGGAAAAGAAGUCCUUUUCAUUUCUAGUUUUAUUUUUUUGUUCAACAAUUUUUGUAAAGUACCUUGUUUAGCUAAGUUUGGUUCUAGAAUAGAGGUAUCUUGAUUUUGUUGAAUUAAUUUGAUCUUUAAAUUAAUGGGGAGCUAUAAUUUUGACCUGAU
Papaver somniferum (opium poppy) is the source of this 1554-nucleotide long non-coding RNA. RefSeq lists it as uncharacterized. Lineage: Eukaryota; Viridiplantae; Streptophyta; Magnoliopsida; Ranunculales; Papaveraceae. The transcript is spliced from 10 exons. The record is from RefSeq and is a predicted model, not a curated record.